GACGAACCGCCCGAACGUUGUUCGGAAUCACUGGGCUUAAAGGGAGCGUAGGCGGGCUGCCAAGUCCGGGGUGAAAUCCUCCAGCUUAACUGGAGAACUGCCUCGGAUACUGGAAGUCUCGAGGAGGGUGAGGGGCAAGUGGAACCGUGGGUGGAGCGGUGAAAUGCGUUGAUAUCCAUGGGAACUCCGGUGGCCGAAGGCGAACUUGCUGGACCCUUUCUGACGCUGAGGCUCGAAAGCCAGGGGAGCAAACGGG
RNAcentral lists this ribosomal RNA (256 nucleotides) under uncultured bacterium. Its description in RNAcentral is "partial 16S ribosomal RNA". It matches the Rfam family "Bacterial small subunit ribosomal RNA", at positions 524 to 776 of the family's 1533-position model. The record is from RNAcentral.